UCGCACCAAUUGAUUGGAUGACUCGAUGAAAAAUUGGGAUCGGAAUGGCUUUUGCUUCAUUGCAGAGGCAGUUUUGAGAACUUUUUUAAAUCUCGUUAUCUAGAGAUUGGUG
Molecule: ribosomal RNA, 112 nt
Filed under: uncultured eukaryote
Lineage: Eukaryota
Description: partial small subunit ribosomal RNA
Source: RNAcentral